RNAcentral lists this long non-coding RNA (389 nucleotides) under Nicotiana benthamiana. Lineage: Eukaryota; Viridiplantae; Streptophyta; Magnoliopsida; Solanales; Solanaceae. The record is from RNAcentral.
AUAAGUGGAACACAUUUAUUGUCCGCUCUCAAGUUGGGCAGUCAGGGUCGGAGAAGGGCAAUGACUCAUUCUUAGUUAGAAUGGGAUUCCAACUCAGCACCUUUUGAGUGAGAUUUUGAGAAGAGUUGCUCUUUGGAGAGCAUAGUACGAUGAAAGUUGUAAGUUGUGUUCGGGGGGAGUUAUUGUUUAUCAUCGGCCUCUAUGGUAGAAUCAGUCGGGGGACCUGAGAGGCGGUGGUUUACCUUGCGACGGAUGUCAGCGGUUUACCCUGCGGCGGAUGUCAGCGGUUCGAGUCCGCUUAUCUCCAACUCGUGAACUUAGCCGAUACAAAGCUUUAUGAUAGCACCCAUUUUUUUCGAUUCAGCAGUUCGAUCUAUGAUUAUCAUUCA